Caretta caretta (loggerhead turtle) is the source of this 448-nucleotide non-coding RNA. The record is from RefSeq and is a predicted model, not a curated record. Lineage: Eukaryota; Metazoa; Chordata; Testudines; Cheloniidae.
GAAUGGUCAGGAAAGGUCCAUGCAUUCAGCUGUGCCCUAUCAGCGUGGGAGGACUGCAUGAGCUCGGAAAACAUGUCAUCGCAAGUGACUGUGAAUGAUAUCGCUCUCCUGAGGCUGACACAGAAAGAUAAAGCCCGAAUGUUGUAUGAGUGCGACCAAAACCCAGGAUCGUUUGCUGCCAUGCUUUGUGCUGCAAUGAUUCCAGAAUACUUGGUACUGGCUUGGCGUGGUAAAGUGUCCUACCGUGGAGGACGAAAUAAGGCAGCUCUCUCAAGAAACCUUCUGCAAAGCCUUUCAGAGUACCUCCAGGAGAGCUUCAUGGAGAUGUCCCUGGAGGAUUCCAGUUCCAUCCCCAGACACGUUAACAGACUUUUCCAGUAGCUGUAUUGGUUGUGAAUGCAUCCCAAUUCUUCAGGGCAAAUCAUACAUUAAACACAAUUGCUUUUAA